GGCCAGAUGGCCAGUUGGUGAAUGCCACAGCAUAGUCCUUCAGUCUCUAUGUGCCAGAUGGCCAGUUGGUGUGGACCACAGCAUAGUCCUUUAGUCUCCAUGGGCCAGAUGGCCAGUUGGUGAGGGCCACAGCAUAGUCCUUUAGUUUCUGUGGGCCAGGUGGCCAGUUCGUGAGGGCCACAUCAUAGUCAUUUAGUCUCUAUGGGCCAGGUGCCAGUUGUUGAGGACUACAGCAUAGUCAUUUAGUCUCUAUGUGCCAGAUGGCCAGUUGGUGAGGGCCACAGCAUAGUCCUUUAGUCUCUAUGGGCCAGUUGGUGAGGGCCACAGCAUAGUCCUUUUGUCUCUAUGGGCCAGAUGGCCAGUUGGUGAGGGCCACAGCAUAGUCCUUUAGUCUCUAUGGGCCAGUUGGUGAGGGCCACAGCAUAGUCCUUUAGUCUCUAUGGGCCAGAGGGCCAGUUGGUGAGGGCCACAGCAUAGUCCUUUAGUCUCUAUGGGCCAGGUAGCCAGUUGGUGAGGGCCACAGCAUAGUCCUUUUGUCUCUAUGGACCAGAUGGCCAGUUGUUGAGGGCCACAGCAUAGUCCUUUAGUCUCUAUGGGCCAGAUGGCAAGUUGUUGAGGAUCACAUCAUAGUCCUUUAGUUUCUAUAAGUUAGGUAGCCAGUUGGUGAGGGCCACAUCAUUGUCCUUUAGUCUCUAUGGGCCAGGUGGCCAGUUGUUGAGGACCACAGCAUAGUCCUUUAGUCUCUAUGUGCCAGAUGUCCAGUUGGUGAGGGCCACAGCAUAGUCCUUUAGUCUCUAUGUGCCAGAUGUCCAGUUGGUGAGGGCCACAGCAUAGUCCUUUAGUCUCUAUGGGCCAGAUGGCCAGUUGGUGGGGCCACAGCAUAGUCCUUUAGUCUCUAUGGGCCAGAUGGCCAGUUGGUGAGGGCCACAGCAUAGUCCUUUAGUCUCUAUGGGCCAGUUGGUGAGGGCCACAGCAUAGUCCUUUUGUCUCUAUGGGCCAGAGGGCCAGUUGGUGAGGACCACAGCAUAGUCCUUUAGUCUCUAUGGGCCAGAUGACCAGUUGGUGAGGGCCACAGCGUAGUCCUUUAGUCUCCAAGGGCCAGAUGACCCAGUUGGUGAGGGCCACAGCAUAGUCCUUUAGUCUCUAUGGGCCAGGUAGCCAGUUGGUGAGGGCCACAGCAUAGUCCUUUAGUCUCUAUGGGCCAGGUAGCCAGUUGGUGAGGGCCACAUCAUAGUCCUUUAGUCUCUAUGGACCAGAUGACCAGUUGGUGAGGGCCACAUCAUAGUCCUUUAGUCUCUAUGGGCCAGAUGGCCAGUUGGUGAGGGCCACAGCAUAGUCCUUUAGUCUCUAUGGACCAGGUAGCCAGUUGGUGAGAGCCACAGCAUGGAGAAAGAAAAAUAUGAUCACCCUGUUACAGGAAAACUAAAACGUG
Molecule: long non-coding RNA, 1432 nt
Filed under: Salmo salar (Atlantic salmon)
Lineage: Eukaryota; Metazoa; Chordata; Actinopteri; Salmoniformes; Salmonidae
Description: lncRNA (ENSSSAG00000099654.1)
Source: RNAcentral